This 256-nucleotide ribosomal RNA is filed under the name uncultured archaeon. RNAcentral's name for it is "partial 16S ribosomal RNA". It matches the Rfam family "Bacterial small subunit ribosomal RNA", at positions 521 to 776 of the family's 1533-position model. The record is from RNAcentral.
UAAUACAGAGGUCCCAAGCGUUGUUCGGAUUCACUGGGCGUAAAGGGUGCGUAGGCGGUUUAGAAAGUCUGAUGUGAAAUCCCGCAGCUUAACUGCGGAACUGCAUUGGAAACUGCUUGACUAGAGGAAUGGAUGGGAGACUGGAAUACUUGGUGUAGCAGUGAAAUGCGUAGAUAUCAAGUGGAACACCAGUGGCGAAGGCGAGUCUCUGGACAUUUCCUGACGCUGAGGCACGAAAGCCAGGGGAGCAAACGGG